UGUGCAGAGGGCUAUGAGGCCAUUUUCCUCC
RNAcentral lists this non-coding RNA (31 nucleotides) under Homo sapiens (human). The record is from RNAcentral. Lineage: Eukaryota; Metazoa; Chordata; Mammalia; Primates; Hominidae.